Molecule: ribosomal RNA, 636 nt
Filed under: uncultured bacterium
Lineage: Bacteria
Description: bacterial SSU rRNA
Rfam family: Bacterial small subunit ribosomal RNA
Source: RNAcentral
GAGUUUGAUCAUGGCUCAGAUUGAACGCUGGCGGCAGGCUUAACACAUGCAAGUCGAGCGGGGACUUCGGUCCUAGCGGCGAACGGGUGAGGAAUGCUUGGGAAUCUGCCUAGUAGUGGGGGAUAACGUUUCGAAAGGAACGCUAAUACCGCAUACGCCCUACGGGGGAAAGGGGGGGAUCUUCGGACCUCUCGCUAUUAGAUGAGCCCAAGUCGGAUUAGCUAGUUGGUGAGGUAAGGGCUCACCAAGGCGACGAUCCGUAGCUGGUCUGAGAGGAUGAUCAGCCACACUGGAACCGAGACACGGUCCAGACUCCUACGGGAGGCAGCAGUGGGGAAUAUUGGACAAUGGGCGAAAGCCUGAUCCAGCCAUGCCGCGUGUGUGAAGAAGGCCUUCGGGUUGUAAAGCACUUUAAGCGAGGAGGAAUGGCUCUGGGUUAAUACCCUUGAGCAGUGACGUUACUCGCAGAAUAAGCACCGGCUAACUCUGUGCCAGCAGCCGCGGUAAUACAGAGGGUGCAAGCGUUAAUCGGAAUUACUGGGCGUAAAGCGCGCGUAGGCGGUUACGUAAGUUGGAUGUGAAAUCCCCGGGCUCAACCUGGGAAUUGCAUUCAAAACUGCGUGGCUAGAGUGUGGG